RNAcentral lists this ribosomal RNA (368 nucleotides) under uncultured organism. Its description in RNAcentral is "bacterial SSU rRNA". It matches the Rfam family "Bacterial small subunit ribosomal RNA", at positions 526 to 896 of the family's 1533-position model. The record is from RNAcentral.
CGAAGGAUGCAAGCGUUAUCCGGAUUCAUUGGGUUUAAAGGGAGCGUAGGUGGUCUUCUAAGUCAGUGGUGAAAUCUCUCGGCUUAACCGAGAAAUUGCCAUUGAUACUGGAGGACUUGAGUAUAGUUGCCGUUGGCGGAAUAUGACAUGUAGUGGUGAAAUACAUAGAGAUGUCAUAGAACACCGAUUGCGAAGGCAGCUAACGAAACUAUAACUGACACUGAGGCUCGAAAGUGCGGGGAUCAAACAGGAUUAGAUACCCUGGUAGUCCGCACUGUAAACGAUGAUUACUCGCUGCUAGAUGGCAACAUUUAGUGGCUUAGCGAAAGCGAUAAGUAAUCCACCUGGGGAGUACGCCGGCAACGGUG